CUCACGCAUCAGAGGAAGAAUAAAUUAGCAGCAGCUCAACACCUGUGCUCUCGCUAUUCUUUACCACAGGUCCCAGAAGCAAAAGAUGUGAGGCCAACACAGGGUGAAGACAUCAACAUCAGCACAAAGUCUGAGAACACUUGCUCACGUAUUGUGGUGCCCAAGGCUGCCAUCGUUGCCAAACACAUCUACCAGGCCAAUGGCUGCACCAAGGCCAUUGGCCUCCUCAG
Molecule: long non-coding RNA, 230 nt
Organism: Toxotes jaculatrix (banded archerfish)
Lineage: Eukaryota; Metazoa; Chordata; Actinopteri; Toxotidae
Exons: 3
Source: RefSeq, a predicted model, not a curated record